GAUGAACGCUGGCGGCGUGCCUAAUACAUGCAAGUCGAGCGAACGGACGAGAAGCUUGCUUCUCUGAUGUUAGCGGCGGACGGGUGAGUAACACGUGGAUAACCUACCUAUAAGACUGGGAUAACUUCGGGAAACCGGAGCUAAUACCGGAUAAUAUUUUGAACCGCAUGGUUCAAAAGUGAAAGACGGUCUUGCUGUCACUUAUAGAUGGAUCCGCGCUGCAUUAGCUAGUUGGUAAGGUAACGGCUUACCAAGGCAACGAUGCAUAGCCGACCUGAGAGGGUGAUCGGCCACACUGGAACUGAGACACGGUCCAGACUCCUACGGGAGGCAGCAGUAGGGAAUCUUCCGCAAUGGGCGAAAGCCUGACGGAGCAACGCCGCGUGAGUGAUGAAGGUCUUCGGAUCGUAAAACUCUGUUAUUAGGGAAGAACAUAUGUGUAAGUAACUGUGCACAUCUUGACGGUACCUAAUCAGAAAGCCACGGCUAACUACGUGCCAGCAGCCGCGGUAAUACGUAGGUGGCAAGCGUUAUCCGGAAUUAUUGGGCGUAAAGCGCGCGUAGGCGGUUUUUUAAGUCUGAUGUGAAAGCCCACGGCUUAACCGUGGAGGGUCAUUGGAAACUGGAAAACUUGAGUGCAGAAGAGGAAAGUGGAAUUCCAUGUGUAGCGGUGAAAUGCGCAGAGAUAUGGAGGAACACCAGUGGCGAAGGCGACUUUCUGGUCUGUAACUGACGCUGAUGUGCGGAAGCGUGGGGAUCAAACAGG
This 766-nucleotide ribosomal RNA is filed under the name Staphylococcus aureus. RNAcentral describes it as "bacterial SSU rRNA". It matches the Rfam family "Bacterial small subunit ribosomal RNA", at positions 28 to 776 of the family's 1533-position model. The record is from RNAcentral. Lineage: Bacteria; Bacillati; Bacillota; Bacilli; Caryophanales; Staphylococcaceae.